UUCAAGCUCACCCACUCGUCUGUUGCCGCCGCUACUGUAAAGCUCCCUCUCCUAUCAUUCACCACCCGCUCCCACUACCCUCCAUAGCUCUAGCCACCAAUGGCCCUACGCCUCUCCAUCUCCUCGUCUCACGGGCCGGCGUCCUCGCCGGCCAUCUCCACAUGCCGGCUGGCUGCCUGCGGGCGCUUCCCAGCCUUGGUUGGCACCUCAGCUGCGUCCCAGAAGAGGAGCCUCACGGUGAUGACGGGCUCUGAGAUGAGGGGAGUGACCGCCGUGAGGUCGAGCAGCUUGGAGACAACCUCGGUGGGAGCUGAGGCGGUGACCGGACAGGUGACAGAGGUGACCAAAGACACCUUCUGGCCAAUCGUAAAGGCGGCAGGAGACAAGGUCGUCGUCCUCGACAUGUACACUCAA
Molecule: long non-coding RNA, 414 nt
Filed under: Setaria viridis
Lineage: Eukaryota; Viridiplantae; Streptophyta; Magnoliopsida; Poales; Poaceae
Description: long non-coding RNA (SVIR_LNC010342)
Source: RNAcentral